AGAAUCAACGCUGGCGGCGUGCCUCAGACAUGCAAGUCGAACGAUUAAACUUUCCUUCGGGAAAGAUAUAAAGUGGCGCACGGGUGAGUAACACGUAAGUAAUCUACCUUUGAGUGGGGAAUAACCCGGGGAAACCCGAGCUAAUACCGCAUAAUGCAGCGGCACCGCAAGGUGACAGUUGUUAAAGGAGCAAUCCGCUUAAAGAGGAGCUUGCGGCAGAUUAGCUAGUUGGUAAGGUAAUGGCUUACCAAGGCUACGAUCUGUAACCGGUCUAAGAGGACGGUCGGUCACACUGACACUGAAUAACGGGUCAGACUCCUACGGGAGGCAGCAGUCGGGAAUUUGGGCAAUGGGCGAAAGCCUGACCAGCAACGCCGCGUAGAAGGAUAGAAGUUAUUCGGUAUAGUAAACUUCGAAAAGUAAGUAGGAAAGUAA
RNAcentral lists this ribosomal RNA (435 nucleotides) under uncultured soil bacterium. Its description in RNAcentral is "bacterial SSU rRNA". It matches the Rfam family "Bacterial small subunit ribosomal RNA", at positions 26 to 454 of the family's 1533-position model. The record is from RNAcentral.